Panicum virgatum (switchgrass) is the source of this 3956-nucleotide long non-coding RNA. RefSeq lists it as uncharacterized. The transcript is spliced from 3 exons. NCBI's taxonomy places the organism in Eukaryota, Viridiplantae, Streptophyta, Magnoliopsida, Poales, Poaceae. The record is from RefSeq and is a predicted model, not a curated record.
CGAGCCAAUCGCUGCUCCCUUCCCGUCGCGAGUCCGCGCCGCCGCCGCGGGUGAGUCUCUCCGUCUCGGCGCCUCCACGUCAAGGUGCCACAAUUCCGCUUCCCCGUCUCGUGACUGCAGCGCCGGAUCCACCCGGACGUAUCGAUCUGCAGCGGCGCGGUGUCUCGACCUCGUCCUCCUUUUCCGCAUCCACCACGGCGCCUCCACCUCGUCUUCCCUGUCGACAUCAAUUUCAAGGACCUGCUAAGUGCAAUAUCCAGAUCAAGAACAAGCCAUACAAUAGUCAAAUUUAACCCAACGUCAGGACUUGAGGUAACUGUAAAUUCAAUCAACCAUUUCCGGGUUAUUAACUAGAAUUGUUUAGUGUAGUUACAUUUUUCUGAGAUGUGGUUUGAAGCACCAGAGCUACGUUGUAAGCUUUGGUUCUACAAUUGUUUGGAGUCCUGGCUAAGCUUUAACUAGAAUCAUCUGAAUAUCUGAUAUGUUUGUAAAUUGAACAUCAAGUUGGUGAUACUAAAACAUUUUUUCUUUUUUUUUGCUGUGAAAAGUGUUUUAAACUGAAGACGUGAGGUUGGCAUUUUUAUUUUUCAAUCUGAAUGUAUUGAUAUAUGGGUAAUCAAUGUGUCGCAUAUUUAGUACUUACUAUGAUUCUAUUUUUUUCUAGGAAAGAAUAUUUUUAAACAUGGAAAGAACAGACGUAAUGGUUGAGAGGCGAGUCAUAAGAUCAGUUGUGACAGUUGUAGAGGUGGGAGGUAGAAAUUAUUGUAGUGGUUUUAUUGCCCAGGUAGAUGCAAGGCACACUUAUAUAGUUACACAAUCAUAUUUUGUCAUGGGACAAGAGAAGCGCCUAAGGGUCCGCUUUUGUGACAAGGUCAAGAAAGAGGCUUUAGUUGUUGGCAAGGUUCACAGUUCCCUUUGUUUGCUAAGAACAGAUCCUCAUACAGGGUGCCAAGCUGUGAGAGUGUCGAAUGACGAUAUCCAACUUGAGCAAACUCUAGUUUUUCCUCCUUCAUCUCCGACCACCUACUUCAGAAUUAUGAGUUUUUGUCACUGCACAAUCUCUUACAGCAUAAGGCCUACGCACCGACGAGGUUAUUGCAGGUACUACGGCUCAGUUCUUGUUAACCUGCCAUUAUGGAUCAUGCACUUCUGAUGGGUUUAACAGAUUGGUGGUUGCUCCGGUGUAUAACUUGAAAGGCUACUUUGUGGGCAUAGUCAUUGAUAACUGCCUCAACCAUGUGAACAUUGGGAUGAGAGAGUUAUGGACUGAAAUGAGAGGGACUGCAAUGAAAGUUAUACUUCCAGCAAAGGCAAUUCCUAUUAUGUUAGCACAUCUCUUGGGCAAACCAGAGCAAAUUGAGAACAGGAAAAGAAAGCUUGGUGGAGUUGACUGUUUUAAGGAGAGAGGAAAUGACGGAGGCAAGGGCAGGCCCAAGGGCUUGCAUACAAGCAAAUGAUGCAAUAGCAUCGGAGCCCGGACAGAUUUCAUUGUUUGCUGAUUCGGAAGAUGGACCUGGAGGCGAGGAUCCUGUAGUCAAGCGUCAAGGCUGGUUUGUUGGUUUGGUUGCAAAGCUAUGGGAGUAUAAAUCUGACCUCGACAAUGUCAAGAGCGAGCUCAAGAGGAUAUCAGCACCCAACGCAAGGCAGGCUACUACUCGGGAGGGGCUCCUUGAAUCUGGCAUGGCUGACACUCCUGCGGUGAGCUCCCAGACUCCUAUCAAUUGCUUAAUACUAGUAGUACUUUCUAGAAUCUAUCUACUCUACUGAAUGUUUAAGUACAGUUAUGCUGCAGUGCAUAACCUAUAUAACAUCAGAGUGUUUAUUAAAGAUUGCAGUAAAACAAAUCCAUGACAGGUCCGCUAUUUGUGAGCUAGCAAGAACUGAUGCCUGAUGAUGAUCUGUGUUUGUGCUUUUAAAUUUGGAUGCAAUAUUUCAUAUCAUGCGACUUUCUUGAUGCUGAAAUGCCAGCUGACAUUUUUUUCUUUUUAUUUUCAUCCUGUGUUGUUAUCCCUAUAAGCAUGAUUGAUGGAGACGUAUUGGAUUUUCAUUUGUUUGGAAACAUUUUUUAAAUUUGUACGCCCUUGCUCAUGUGUGUUGCUAUGUUUGUUGGUGGUGAAACUGAGGAAAAUAAUGCUGGUAGUGAUUUCAACGAGUUAUCCUUGUUGCUCAUGUUUUUUUGGCUGUAUGGCAAUUUGAUAGUUCUCAUCCCCCAUGAGAGAAGAACAAUAUAUAGUUUGUACAUAUAAUUAACACUAUAGUUUGUCCUAUCUGAUUCCCCAAGUCAUCUAGUACUAUUGCAAUUAGAAGUAGAGCAUUUUGGUCCAUAUAAACUCUUUUCAAAUAUGUUACUCCACAAGUGAAUGUUUUCCUUUCCUGCAUGUCCUAUCCCUUUUAUUGGUUCAAUCAUGUUAGGUUGAAAACUUCUUUCGUUGAAACUUUGAAUUACAAAUAGCUUAUACUAGAAUUACACCCUAACUCAGUACUGUAAUUUUCUAGGUUACUGUAAAACGUUAGAGCAGAUUGUAUUUUGGUUACUGUAAUUUUCUCACUUCAGUUCUGUAUUUGGGACAGGUUGUGGAAAUAGGAUUGUUGAUAUAUCCAAAUUACAUUAUUGGUGAAUAUUUGAAGUAGGGCCAAUUACAAUGCUAAAUGUUCUUUCAUAUUAGCUUAUUCAAAAUGACUUUUUGCAACACUGGUUUCCUAUUUAGCAAUCUAACAGUGCUCUGUGUUCCAUAACCUUACAGAUUGGUUCCUCUUCCUAUGUCCAUUGUAUUUUUAUGAUAUCGACCCCUGUUUUGUGUUAAGUAUAUAUAGUGUCGAGUCUUUGUGUCUCUUUCUAUUUUAAUUUAGUUAGUAGUCUAUCAGUUAAUUACCUGAACAUGUUAGUGUUGUUAGCAGCUCCUAAUCAUUAGGGAGUGGAAUCAGAAGAGCCACUUAUUCUCCUCAGGAUGUGUCCUGAUUUUUUAGGGGCCAUAGUGGCCAUUAGCAUCUUCCACUCAGGCCUUCUUUUACUCUUCUAUAGGAGAACAAGAUAAUGCUAAAGCUGUGGUUGCAGCAAAAUACUUGCCUGUCUUACUCUUUUAGUUUGGUGAGUUGAGAGCUUAAGAUUUAUUGUGGACUCAAUCUGCAAAUAAAAUUAUCUUCCAAUAAGGUGUUGUUUUACUAGAUGUACAAGACUCAUUUCUUAAGGUGUUGUUUUACUAGAUGUACAAGACUCAUUUCUUAAUUUCUUAUGAGACUAGAUAAAUGUAUGGUUGUACAUAUAGUUAACAUUACAGUUUACCUUGUCUCAUUCCCCAAGUAGUGUAGUACUACUGCAAUUAGAAGUAGAGCAUUUUGGUCCACAUAAACUCUUUUUAAAUAUGCUACUCUAUGACUGAAUAUUUGUCUUCCUGCCUGUCAUAUGCCUUUUAUUGGUUUGCUCAUUCCAAGUUGAAAACUUUCAUUUAAACUUUGAUCUAUAGUCCCGAUAUGAGCAAUCAAGUAAAUAUGAAAAUAUUGCCCGAAAUUACAGAAUUUUUAUGCUAGAACUACACCCUCAUUAAGUGUUAUAAUUUUGUAGUUUGUUACUAUAAAACAUAAUAGUGAGCAAUACUUCACUAGGAUUUUCUAUGCUAAAAAUACCCAAGUAUUUUUACUCAUUUGUUAUUGUAAUUUUCUCAUUUGUAUUUUGUUUCAUUUUCUUUUAUUUCUUUUUUUAAAUUUUUUUUUGACUAGUUGUGUCCAUUAUGGGGAUUCCUGGGUCAGUCGAUUUCGCUAUCUAUUUGUCAUUUGGAUCUGUGACUACAAAAUAACAACUAACUUAUGCUAGAAUUACACCCUCAUGUAGCACUAUAAUUUACUCAUUCAUUACUGUAAAUUUGAAAAUCCUGGUAUUUUGAUAGGAAUAUGAGAUCCAUGGUUUUCUAUUUCUGAUUACAUUCUAUUUAGUGAAGCUAGGUUAUUGUAUUUGUGUG